ACGAUGGGUAGGGGAACUGAGAGGUUUAUCCCCCACACUGGUACUGAGACACGGACCAGACUCCUACGGGAGGCAGCAGUGAGGAAUAUUGGUCAAUGGGCGAGAGCCUGAACCAGCCAAGUCGCGUGAAGGAAGACCGUCCUAAGGAUUGUAAACUUCUUUUAUACGGGAAUAACGGGCGAUACGAGUAUUGCAUUGAAUGUACCGUAAGAAUAAGCAUCGGCUAACUCCGUGCCAGCAGCCGCGGUAAUACGGAGGAUGCGAGCGUUAUCCGGAUUUAUUGGGUUUAAAGGGUGCGUAGGUUGUUCGGUAAGUCAGCGGUGAAACCUGAGCGCUCAACGUUCAGCCUGCCGUUGAAACUGCCGGGCUUGAGUUCAGUGGCGGCAGGCGGAAUUCGUGGUGUAGCGGUGAAAUGCAUAGAUAUCACGAGGAACUCCGAUUGCGAAGGCAGCUUGCCAUACUGCGACUGACACUGAAGCACGAAGGCGUGGGUAUCAAACAGGAUUAGAUACCCUGGUAGUCCACGCAGUAAACGAUGAUUACUAGGAGUUUGCGAUAUACCGUCAAGCUUCCACAGCGAAAGCGUUAAGUAAUCCACCUGGGGAGUACGCCGGCAACGGUGAAACUCAAAGGAAUUGACGGGGGCCCGCACAAGCGGAGGAACAUGUGGUUUAAUUCGAUGAUACGCGAGGAACCUUACCCGGGAUUGAAAUGUAGAUGACGGAUGGUGAAAACCGUCUUCCCUUCGGGGCUUCUAUGUAGGUGCUGCAUGGUUGUCGUCAGCUCGUGCCGUGAGGUGUCGGCUUAAGUGCCAUAACGAGCGCAACCCACAUCGGUAGUUGCUAACAGUUUUCGCUGAGGACUCUACCGAGACUGCCGUCGUAAGGCGUGAGGAAGGUGUGGAUGACGUCAAAUCAGCACGGCCCUUACAUCCGGGGCGACACACGUGUUACAAUGGGAGGGACAAAGGGCAGCUACCGGGCGACCGGAUGCGAAUCUCUAAACCCUUCCCCAGUUCGGAUCGGAGUCUGCAACUCGACUCCGUGAAGCUGGAUUCGCUAGUAAUCGCGCAUCAGCCAUGGCGCGGUGAAUACGUUCCCGGGCCUUGUACACACCGCCCGUCAAGCCAUGGGAGUCGGGGGUACCUGAAGGGCGUAACCGCAAGGGGCGCACUAGGGUAAUACCGGUGACUGGGGCUAAGUCGUAACAAGGUAGCCGUACCGGAAGGUGCGGCUGGAACACCUCCUUUCUGGAG
RNAcentral lists this ribosomal RNA (1255 nucleotides) under Porphyromonas gingivalis SJD12. RNAcentral describes it as "bacterial SSU rRNA". It matches the Rfam family "Bacterial small subunit ribosomal RNA", at positions 276 to 1533 of the family's 1533-position model. Lineage: Bacteria; Pseudomonadati; Bacteroidota; Bacteroidia; Bacteroidales; Porphyromonadaceae. The record is from RNAcentral.